AAUAGAUACCCGGGUAGUCCACGCCGUAAACGAUGGGUACUAGGUGUAGGGGGUAUCGACUCCCCCUGUGCCGCCGUUAACACAAUAAGUACCCCGCCUGGGGAGUACGGUCGCAAGAUUAAAACUCAAAGGAAUUGACGGGGGCCCGCACAAGCAGCGGAGCAUGUGGUUUAAUUCGAAGCAACGCGAAGAACCUUACCUAGACUUGACAUCUCCUGAAUUACUCUUAAUCGAGGAAGUUCUCCCUUCGGGGAGGACAGGAAGACAGGUGGUGCAUGGUUGUCGUCAGCUCGUGUCGUGAGAUGUUGGGUUAAGUCCCGCAACGAGCGCAACCCUUAUUGUUAGUUGCUACCAUUUAGUUGAGCACUCUAGCAAGACUGCCGUGGUUAACGCGGAGGAAGGUGGGGAUGACGUCAAAUCAUCAUGCCCCUUAUGUCUAGGGCUACACACGUGCUACAAUGGCGAGUACAAAGAGACGCAAAGCCGCGAGGUGGAGCAAAACUUNUAAAACUCGUCUCAGUUCGGAUUGCAGGCUGAAACUCGCCUGC
RNAcentral lists this ribosomal RNA (548 nucleotides) under uncultured bacterium. RNAcentral describes it as "bacterial SSU rRNA". It matches the Rfam family "Bacterial small subunit ribosomal RNA", at positions 777 to 1319 of the family's 1533-position model. The record is from RNAcentral.